AUGUUCAAUUAUAUUUUUAAUUAUUAGACUUUUUAAUUAUUGUAUAUAAUAAAACAAUUUUAGUUGGGGUCGGACAUUAAGAAUAUAAAAACUACUUAUUUUUAAAAUUUUUUGUAAAAUAUUUAUUGAUCCUUUAAAAAGAAUUAUAAGAAGAAAUUACCUUAGGGAUAACAGCGUAAUCUUUUUUGAGAGUUCUAAUCGACAAAAAAGGUUUGCGACCUCGAUGUUGGACUAAAAUUUAGACAAGGUGUAGCAGCUUUGUUUUAAGGUCUGUUCGACCUAUAAUAUUUUACACGAUCUGAGUUCAGACCGG
RNAcentral lists this ribosomal RNA (313 nucleotides) under Savignium crenatum. Its description in RNAcentral is "partial 16S ribosomal RNA". The stretch from base 167 to 313 matches the Rfam family "Bacterial large subunit ribosomal RNA", at positions 2473 to 2619 of the family's 2925-position model. Lineage: Eukaryota; Metazoa; Arthropoda; Thecostraca; Balanomorpha; Pyrgomatidae. The record is from RNAcentral.